GCCCGUGUAGCUCAGUUGGUUAGAGCAGCUGAUUCUUAAUCAGCGGGUCCGGGGUUCAAAUCCCUGCGCGGGUA
This 74-nucleotide transfer RNA is filed under the name Planctomycetota bacterium. Its description in RNAcentral is "Planctomycetes bacterium tRNA-Lys". It matches the Rfam family "tRNA". From Rfam's summary of the family: Transfer RNA (tRNA) molecules are approximately 80 nucleotides in length. The record is from RNAcentral. Lineage: Bacteria; Pseudomonadati; Planctomycetota.